Molecule: ribosomal RNA, 466 nt
Filed under: uncultured bacterium
Lineage: Bacteria
Description: partial 16S ribosomal RNA
Rfam family: Bacterial small subunit ribosomal RNA
Source: RNAcentral
GAUGAACGCUGGCGGCGUGCCUAACACAUGCAAGUCGAACGAUGAAGCCCAGCUUGCCGGGGGGUUUAGUGGCGAACGGGUGAGUAACACGUGAGUAACUUGCCCUUAACGCUGGGAUAAGCCUGGGAAACGGGGCUUAUUACCGGUAAGGAGCGUGCACCACAUGGGGGGGGCUGGGAAGAUUUAUCGGUUUUGGCUGGACUCGCGGCCUAUCAGCUUGUUUGUGGAGAAGUGGCACACCGAGGCGGCGGCGGAUAGCCUGCCUGGGAGGGAGACCACCCACAAGGGGCCUGCGGCAGGGCCCAGUCUCCAACGGUGGGCAGCGGUGGGAAAUAUUGCCCAAUGGGCGCAAGCCUGAUGCAGAGGCGCCGCGUGUGGGAAGACGGCCUUCGGGUUGUAAACCUCUUUCAGUAGGGAAGAAGCGAAAGUGACGGUACCUGCAGAAGAAGCACCGGCUAACUACGUG